CCAACUAUACACAUUGAUGAGAGUGUUAAAAUGGAGAAUAAUGCUUCGGUGGAAGCACACGGCCUUGAUGGCAGAGAUUUCAAUGUCAAUUUUAUGCAUCAUAUUGCGGAUUAUAUUUUCAUCAUCAAAAAGAUAGUAUUGAAAUGUUUGAGCAACGAAGGUGUACACUCAACAGCAAUCUAUCUAUUAAGCACGCUAUCGACCUAUUCAUGGGAAGGCAAGCUAACAACGAUGCUUGCUUCUUUGGCCAUCAUCCAUGGAGAAUCCAACGUGAAAGGAUCCACACAUCUAAAGUGAAGUCUAAAUAUAGUACCAUCCUUUGAUCACAACUAGCAACCAUCAUAUAACUCUGCGCUACAAAAUUCAACACUACCUAUUACGAACUACUGGAUUGCAAGAAGUGUUACGUUCUUGUUUAUGCAACACAUUUUGCCCACCUACUUAUGAUGGGAAUCAAGUCCCAAAUCAGCUAAAGGAACAAUCCAAUUUAGCUACGAAAGUCAAAGACAUACAUAUAAUCACUGCUUGCAACCCACUACUAGAGGAGAAGAGAGCAGAGGAAUCUUAUAAAGCAUUUUGCACGUUUCAAACAAUUAUUCCAUUUGGUAAAAUUUUAAGAGUUAAUACUGAAGACAAAAUAUUGAGAAGUCAAUUUAUGAUUGAUAAGAACUAAUGAGAAGAUUAGUUUUCUCAUUAUGUUUAGGGAAAUUUUUUUUAGUACUAUUGACUUUAUUAAACAUCUGUUUAUAAUUACUUUCUCAACCUACCGAGCUCAAACCAAUGAUGACCAAUUACUUUCUCAACCUACUAAGCUCAAAUCAAUGAUGACCUCCCAUUUCGAAGAGCUACUUCAAUUCGUCCACAAGGUCAUUGAAUUUCAUUGAAUGAAUGAUUGAACUCCAGAGAAUACACAUUACAUUAGUUUAAAAUUUCUUAUGCAUGACUCAUAUAUGACCAAAAGAUCAUGGAAGUGUUGGAGGAGACAAACAAAUUCUCUCUCAUUAUUUGCUAGAUAUUUAGUCCGAAUGUUGUAAGGAGA
This is a long non-coding RNA of Ipomoea triloba (trilobed morning glory), 1039 nucleotides long. RefSeq lists it as uncharacterized. The record is from RefSeq and is a predicted model, not a curated record. NCBI's taxonomy places the organism in Eukaryota, Viridiplantae, Streptophyta, Magnoliopsida, Solanales, Convolvulaceae. The transcript is spliced from 4 exons.